RNAcentral lists this unclassified non-coding RNA (653 nucleotides) under Neodiprion lecontei (redheaded pine sawfly). RNAcentral's name for it is "nuclear factor of activated T-cells 5, transcript variant X1". Lineage: Eukaryota; Metazoa; Arthropoda; Insecta; Hymenoptera; Diprionidae. The record is from RNAcentral.
GUCGUCAUGACGUCGUAACGACCGAUCAACCGCGAGAUGGCCAAGACCAGAAAAACGUCGGGAACGGAGAGAGAGUGGUAUAUUCGGUGCUCUAGCAGCCAGAGCAUAAUGUCGGACAGUAUAAUAACACACAUUGAUAGAGUAUGGUAUGCUAUAGCGUAGUUGGCAAAUGGCGGUCGCGAAAUGAAUAAUAAUGUGCAGUUGUGGUUUUUGUUAUGUUAAAUAUUGGACGAACGAAGUGUAAGAUGUUAGUGAAGAGUCCUACGUCGGAGAAAAAGCAAAGAAGGAAUAAUGUCAGAAGUGCCAGGAGCGGUGCCGACGAAGCUACCAGAAGCUAUCGUGUCCACCGCGGAAAUACUAGGUCUCCAAAAACAAGUUCGGAACGACUGAAUCUUCAACAUUUUUGGAUAAAAAUUCUACACGUCCAAAGGGUGGCCAACUCAGAAGUCAAACGGAUUAUUUGAAAUUGAAACUGAAAUGAUUCGUGCUACCUAUAAGGUGACCACCCUUUGGACUUGCACUGAAAAACAUGACCCGCGCUCAUACCUCAUGUAAAUAUUUAUACUUCAAAAAGAACGAAUUACAAUUCGUCAUCAGUUAAAAACAAUGUACACAGUUUUUCCAAAAUAAACAAAAAACCGAGUUUUGAAAAA